Molecule: long non-coding RNA, 1358 nt
Organism: Clupea harengus (Atlantic herring)
Lineage: Eukaryota; Metazoa; Chordata; Actinopteri; Clupeiformes; Clupeidae
Source: Ensembl
UUGUGUUUCAUCUCUUUAGUUCUGUGUUUGUUUGUUUUGUUUGUUUGUUUUACUCUCUUUUGUAGUGUGUAAAAUAAGAGUUGAACCUGUUGAAGAGUUGUAGCUUUUGUUUUGAAGAGCGAACUUUAGUACGGUUAUUAAGAAAGCUAGAAAAAGGUACAAUGGAAAACAAAUGCUUGUCAUUCACUGAUUUUUCAGGACUGAAAUGAAGAUGAACUUGACAUUAGCUUUUCUGCUACAUCUAUUUGUUUGCUAUCUGUGAUGCAGCUGUUUGUGUUUGUUAUUUUCAGUAGCGCAUAUUUAAAUACCAGUGUGAGGCCUGUGUUGUCGUAGUGGACAUUAUGCUUUGCUGACAAAAAUAUCAGCAUUCAUUUGUCUUUCCUGGAUCUAGCAAAUGUGAUAUAAAUACUUGAAGUGUGUUUUUUUUUUUUUUGUCAUGAAUGUCUUCCAUUUGUUCUGUGAAGUGAACAGUAUGGUGGAAGCGCAGGUGUGAGCCGUAGUGAUGUGGCGUGUGCUUCUCCUAAUGGACUGAUGGUGGAAAUGCAGGGUGAAGUGCUGUCAUUUUCUCCAUCUCUCUGCCUCUCCUUCCAUCUCCUUUAUUUCCCCUACCUUUUUUUAUUUAUUUUUUACUUUAUUGCACCUCUCUGUUUUUCGUUCUCUAACUGUUUUUUUUCUUUUCAUUUUAUAACUCUCUCUCGUUCCCUGAUUUGUUCUCCUGUUCGUCUUGCUCUCUCCCUCUUGUCCCUCCAUCUCUCUCUGUUUUCUCCAUAUCUUUCAUACACAGUCACCCCCCCCCCCCCCUCAUCCUUCCCUGCUGUUGCUUAAUGCUAUUCCUGGUUGAUGCAGGAGAGGUGAUGGUGGGCAACUACACUGGGAGACAGACAGAGAGAGCCGGGACUAAGCUCCUCUCUCCUCUCCUCUCCUCUCCUCCUUUCCUCUCCUCUCCUCUCUUCUCCUGUCCUGUGUCCCUCUUCUGCCUUCUGCUCUCGCAGGAAGAGUGCCAUCUAGACCUUGAAGCAGGGUUUAGUGCCCCCACCACCACCACCACCACCUUCCGUCUUUGUUUGUUUAUUUAUUUAUUUUAAAGGCAACAUAGGAAAAUGUUCCGCUUGUCAGCGGUAUUGGAGAAGUGGGGAAUGAUGCGGGAAUUGGAGAUAGACACAAAAGUUAUAAAACAGAGAGAGAGAGAGAGAGGGGAAAGUGAGGGAGAGGGAGAGGCAGGGAGAGAGGGAGGGAGGGAGAGAGGGAGAGAGAUGGCACUGAAGAGAAGAGAAGAGGACAUUCUGAGUCAGCAGGUCAACCUUUGCCCUUUUUUUAUUGUUCAGAGGAGGAAUACUCUGAAGCAGCUCCAUCCCCAC